UUUCCGUAGGUGAACCUGCGGAAGGAUCAUUAAUGAGUUGUCAUGGGGUUCGAUGCUGGCAGCCAAUUUUUGGAUGCAUGUGCUUGCCCUAACAAUCAUCUUCCAAACACCUGUGCACAUUUUUGAGGGAGUCUUGAGUUGGUUGCCGCUCCUGGGUGAUUUUCUCACAUUCCCCUAAAUCAUUAUACGCUAUUAACAAUGUUGAACGUGCUCUGUGCCGCAAGGCUAUUAAUAUAAUACAACUUUUAACAACGGAUCUCUUGGCUCUC
Molecule: unclassified non-coding RNA, 269 nt
Filed under: plant metagenome
Description: partial contains small subunit ribosomal RNA, internal transcribed spacer 1, and 5.8S ribosomal RNA
Source: RNAcentral